Non-coding RNA from Notechis scutatus (mainland tiger snake), 2126 nucleotides. The record is from RefSeq and is a predicted model, not a curated record. NCBI's taxonomy places the organism in Eukaryota, Metazoa, Chordata, Lepidosauria, Squamata, Elapidae.
AGAUGGCUACGUCCAAAGAAGCUGUCUAGUGCAUGAAGAUGAAGAAAUAUAUGAUGAUAUUGCUGAUGAUUUAUAUGACAAUGAUUAGCUCCAGACCUCAUCUUGGCAGUCUUCACCUUUUCUGAUUGGUGGAUAUAAGAGAGAAAGUUAUUAUUCAGACUUAGGAUUUAUGUGUAUGUACAAAAGAUUUGGUUAAGCUAUCCCACCAGUUUCUGGACAGUGAAGCAGGUUUUAUCGCAGAAGCAUGAUAACAUUACACAAAUAUGUUCUUGAUUUGCAACCGUCAGCCAAAUCUUCAAAUUGGAAUGUUAUUAAAUCAAUGUUGGGUGUGGGAUAACUUGACAGCUUAAUAAAUCCCCCAACACAAUCCAAAAUAUUCUAUUUAGCAUGCUACAGAUUAAAUCAACAAUUUGCAUGUACAAUACUCCUUCUCGUAUUCAUACAAUGGGCUUUGGAAAUGUCCCAAUGUGCCCACAGAUGUGAUACCUGACCUUCAUCUGUUCUAUGUUAUUUUUACCUACUCAUACCACAGAACCAUGGAAUUGGAAGCAGCCAGCUAAUUCAACCUGCUAUUGAACUGAGUUAUAGGAAGGCAGAAUCUGCCUAUUGUUUCUCUAUUCUUUUAUUUUCUUAUUUUUCUAACUCAGAAAUGGGCAACCAAUAUCUUGCAGUUGUGCCUCUGCAAUUCAGUGGGAAAACAAGCUAAAUUUCAGAGGCAAGGUUUCAACCUGUUUUUUUUUUUAAAUAUUUGGGGUGGUUUUAAGAAUGGAAAUGAAAAGGGUUUAUCUGUAGGAGGAUUUCUGUUCCCAUCUCCAUCCUUAAAAUCUCCCCAAAAGCUGAAGAAUGAGCCAUGCCUUCUUUGGUGAUGCCACAUUAUUGGAUUGCCUCCUGUGGAUCUUUCAAAAAUUGAGAUGUGGCCAUUCAGCCUUCAAACAUUGUUCAUCUCCAUUUGAAAGUUAAGACAAGUAUUCCAUUUUACAUUAGGAUGAUAGAGAGCAGAACCUGGCUUUUUUAAAGCUCAACAUCCCUUCCAGUAUUAGAAGAACAGUAUCAUUUCCCCCCAGUUUUCUCACAGUCCCUCAAAACUGUGAAAGUCCUUUCAAAAUGCUUGUGGUUUUUUUUAAUUCACCUGAGUUUUUCUAAAUCUUUCUUAAAAAGUGACUACCAGUAUCAAAACUGGAAGUAUUCAGUAUCUUUUGGAACGUUGAAUUAAGUAAGUAAAUCAUGAUUCAGUUAUUCACAGGAAAGUGAUCAAUAACUAUGACUACUAUCUACUCAUCUGGCAAUAAUGUGGGGUACUAUGAAUCAUACUUCACCUACAUCUUGAGAGCCACAAAUUCUCUUUCUCAAUCUUACUUGGUCAGUUGUAUUAUAUUCGGUCAGUUACUUGGUCAGUUGUAUUACUUACUUGGUCAGUUGUAUUCUUUGUAGCAUAUUCCCACAGGUGCAGGGUCUGCUUUUUGGAUCAUUGAACGCCACUUUGCAAGGACAGCUGCGUCUCCGGGGUGCAGGCCCACAUAUUGUAUUAGUGUACUGUAUCUAUAUGAAUCUAAUAAAUAAAUAGUUAUCUCCUUCUUCCUCUACCACUAAGAGAAUUGUAUACUUUUAGGACACUUUUAUAUUAGGGAUUUGUGCCAUUUCGGGACCAGCUCUGGAUCUAGUUGGUUUUAUACAUCAUGUAGUUUGGGAAAAUGAGUCAAGGUAUUUCUGAUUCUGCUGUUUUUCUUGAAAUUGUUGAAAAAGUGGCACAGUAUUCUUCCAAUUGCUAAAUCACUACAAACCUAACAGUGAUUCUAUUUUUGCAGUCUGUCUCAGGAAUUCAUGCCAGUCAUAAUGUAUUCCUCUACCCUAUCCGUGAAGAAGUUCAGCAUCCUGUUCCUGGAGCUGGUCUCUUCCUUUAUGUUUAAAAUAUAUUUUAGAACUUUUUUUUUCUUGACUCUCCAAGUCCUGCUCCUACUGGGGAAAGAACCUAACCUCAAAAUUGCCAGCAUUAUGAUCAUUGCACCCCACAUAUGUUUUUAAAAUAUGAUAGAGGAAUGCCAAUAAAACACAUGGGAAACUCUGUGAAAAGUUCAGUGCUUUUGUUUAUGUUUCUAAUAAUCAACAUUCCUUCAUAUAGCUGCCCA